Long non-coding RNA from Drosophila pseudoobscura, 486 nucleotides. RefSeq lists it as uncharacterized. The record is from RefSeq and is a predicted model, not a curated record. The transcript is spliced from 2 exons. NCBI's taxonomy places the organism in Eukaryota, Metazoa, Arthropoda, Insecta, Diptera, Drosophilidae.
CCGGUUCAGAUUCUGCAGUCCAGAAUAUAUUGACAUUCUCUAAAAUUGUGGAUGCCACAGACAGUGACAGUGAUAUAUUACAGAAGUCUGGAUACAAAUUUCGUUGCUCACAGCAGAGGUUUUUAUACCCGAUACUCAAAAUGAGUAUUGGGGUGUAUUAGGUUUGUGUUGAAAAUGGAUGUGUGUAACGUCCAGAAGGAAGCGUUUGAGUCGCGGUGCUGAGCCACUAUUUGUAAUAAAAUUAUGUUUUAUAACUCGCACAGCUAAUGGUUUAGCAAACUGGUUUCUGAAAAUUGUUAAAAUUGAUAAUUAUCAGAUUAUAAUAUUUGCCACCAUGCUGUGCCUAACACAACUGGAGUUAGUCAGCUAGUAAAGUCUAAUAUCAUACGGCCGUAAAUAUAUAUGUAUCUCAGAACCCAUAUCAAGAGCCAUGUUACGGAGGUUUCCAAUCAUUGUAUUAACCUGUCCCAUAUUUUCUUCCAUUUC